This 234-nucleotide ribosomal RNA is filed under the name uncultured bacterium. RNAcentral describes it as "partial 16S ribosomal RNA". It matches the Rfam family "Bacterial small subunit ribosomal RNA", at positions 102 to 334 of the family's 1533-position model. The record is from RNAcentral.
CCACGGGUGGGUAACACGUAUCCAACCUGCCGUCUACUCUUGGGCAGCCUUCUGAAGGAAGAUUAAUCCAGGAUGGCAUCAUGAGUUCACAUGUCCGCAUGAUUAAAGGUAUUUCCGGUAGACGAUGGGGAUGCGUUCCAUUAGAUAGUAGGCGGGGUAACGGCCCACCUAGUCAUCGAUGGAUAGGGGUUCUGAGAGGAAGGUCCCCCACAUUGGAACUGAGACACGGUCCAA